RNAcentral lists this ribosomal RNA (344 nucleotides) under uncultured bacterium. Its description in RNAcentral is "bacterial SSU rRNA". It matches the Rfam family "Bacterial small subunit ribosomal RNA", at positions 30 to 367 of the family's 1533-position model. The record is from RNAcentral.
AUUGAACGCUGGCGGCAUGCCUUACACAUGCAAGUCGAACGGCAGCACGGGAGCAAUCCUGGUGGCGAGUGGCGAACGGGUGAGUAAUGUAUCGGAACGUACCUUUCAGUGGGGGAGUAACGUAGCGAAAGUUAACGCUAAUACCGCAUAUUCUGUGAGCAGGAAAGACAGGGGAGUCGCAAGACCUUGCGCUGAUUGAGCGGCCGAUAUCAGAUUAGCUAGUUGGUGAGGUAAAGGACUCACCAAGGCGGACGAUCUGUAGCGGGUCGUGAGAGGAUGGUCCGCCACACUGGAACUGAGACACGGUCCAGACUCCUACGGGAGGCAGCAGUGGGGGAAGUUUU